RNAcentral lists this long non-coding RNA (4315 nucleotides) under Homo sapiens (human). Its description in RNAcentral is "HSALNT0268771". Lineage: Eukaryota; Metazoa; Chordata; Mammalia; Primates; Hominidae. The record is from RNAcentral.
CCCACGGUGCCCCAUCAUCCUGCCUCAUUUUCCUCCCAGCACUUAAUCUUCUCUGAAAUAACCAUAUUCUUUGAUUGCUUUUGGUCCUGUGUUUUCCCAACACCGAGAAAGGCUCUCACAAUCUCUAGAUUUGCACAAAGGUGGGGCUUUCUCUGUUUUUAUUUGAUUUUUUGUUGUUUUAUUUUUUAAGUUUUGUUUUCUUUUUUGACUCCGCAAGGGUCUGGGCAGUGCCUGGCCCACAGUAGACUCCUAAGAAGUGUUCACUGAGGGGCAAUUAGGAGGUGCUUAGUGGCUGCACCAGACCUUCAGCAUCCUAGACCCCUGGCUCUGACACUUACUGCUUAAGAAUCACCAGGGCCACUUACUGAAAAUGUACAAUCCUGAGAGCCGGACUUACUAAGUCUGGGUUUGGACUUGGAAACAUGCAUUUUUAACAAGAUCUCCACUGGGUUCUGAUGCCAGUGUCCUGGAGGGGGCCACACUUCAUGAUAAGCUAUCAUCCCAACCCACUCAGGGAAUGGCAUGGAGUCCAGAAUUGCUAUUGGAACACUGCCCUCCUCGGAGGCUCCUGCCUGCUGGAGGCGUGGUGGCCUGAUGAUUGGCAUCACUCCUGUAGCUUGAGGGUCCAGAGUGUGGACUCACAUGGCGCUUCAGACCCUUCUCUGAAGCCUGACUCUUUGGGGGCAGUGCUGCAGAUUGACAAAGGGUGUUUCUGCACAGGCCUGACUCACACAACACUGGAAUGGGCCGGGAAGGAGCCUCCCGGCCAGACGCCCACUUUGGUACCAGCCCUGGGUUAUGUAACUCCAGAUGCCUGUGACUAACCCAUGGCCCCGAGGGCAUCUCUGGGUGGGGAAAAGAUGAGGGCUGACUUCUCCAGAAUUUAAAACGAAACAUCUCAGGACUAUUUAUAAAAGCACAGGACACACUAGGGGGAAGUUCAGAUAAAGGCCGUGGAGGGGUGCAGACAAGGAAAGGGAACCAGGAGGUGUACUUGCAAACUUGACCUACUAAAGGCAUGGCUUCCAGAGCUCUGAGGACAGUUGACCUUCAAAACAACGAUUGACCUUGGGGAAAGGAUGAGUCACAGAGGCUCCAGGGCCUGGUUCCUGCUGGCAGAGCUUCCAGCCUCUGAGUCCCAGAGUGUUCUCUCCUAGGAGUGAAACAUGUACUUGGUAGAUGUCGGCUGCCUCCACCAAAUGCAAAAACGCAUCUCAUCCUGUGAGCUGACCUUGCUGGGGUGAGGUCUACUUCUUGGGGAAGACCCUGGGCUGCUAACUGGGUCUUGGCUGGUCCUAGGUUUGUGGCAACCAGUAGUCACUGGAUCCAUCGAUGAGAAUAAAUCUUGUUGGCAUGUGGAGACAAGGCCAGGUAGAAGCAGAAGUCAGAGGGCCAGGAGGCAGGUAGGCCCCUGUCUCUAUGUUAACUCAUGCCAAGCCAUAAUGGCAGCUCACGUUGAUGGAGCUGUCCAUGUGCCAGCCCCUGCCUGAAGUGCCCGCAAUCAUCUCUCGCUUUUCUUCGAUAACGGAGUGAGAGGGAAGAGCACGGGGCUGAGAAUCAGGGGGCCCAGAUGGAAGACCCACUCACCGCUAAAUUGUUGGGGGGCCUGGGAUGACUUAUUACAAUAUUAAUAAUGACCACAGCAAUGACUACAGCCCCAUUCAUUGAGCACUCGGCACUCAUCAUCUCAUUAAGCCUUGUCCUGCAAUGCCAGAGGCUUUGGAAUCAGAGCUGGAGUUUUGGAAUCAGACAGAGCUGGAGUUCAAGGAAGAGCUCUGACACUUAUGAGCUAGCAACCUUGAACGCAUCAUUUAACCUUUAGGGGCUCAAAAACAGCCAUUGUUUAUUCAUCUCACAAAUAUGCAGUCUGGGCAAGGCUUGGCAGGAACAGCUUAUGUCUGACUUUAUGUGGUGUCAGCUAGGGUGGCUUGCAGAAAAGCUAGCAACCAAAAUCCCCGAAGGCUCACUCACUCACAGAUGAUGCCGAUGCCAAUACCAAUGACGAUGGUGAUGCAGAUCAUGAUGCAGAUGGUGAUGCACGUGCUGAUGCAGGUGCUGAUGCUGAGGCAGGUGCUGAUGCAGAUAAUGAUGCAGAUGCUGAUGCAGGUGCUGGUGCUGAUGCUGAGGCAGAUAUGAUGCAGAUGCUGGUGCAAAUGCUGAAGCAGGUGUUGAUGCAGAUACUAAUCUGACGCAGCUGCUGAUGUUAAAGCAGGUGUUGAUGCUGAUGCAGGUACCGAUGCUGAAGCAGGUGUUGAUGCAGGUGCUGAAAAAGGUGUUGGUGCAGGUGCAGAUGCUGAUGCUGGUAGUAAUGCUGAUGCAGGCGCUGAUGCUGAUGCAGGAAUGAGUUUGAUUUGAGAAGCGGAUUCCUUCUCCCCGGGAAAGGCACAAAGUUUUCUUUCCAAGUGCAGGUUGAAACUAACUCCUGGUGAAGAAGCUCACGGCACCAUCCAGCAUGGCACCGUCUGGGAGUCGUUUUUGAUUAGAAGUUGACCUCAGAAAUAUGCUCACAUCAUUUUGAAAGCAUCUUCCAGCACCACAGAAAUCGACUCAGAUGGAGAAAGGACACUGAGUGGACAGGGGCCAGGAUGGGGCGUGGACGCUCUGCCUCUGCCGGGGACAAGGCCUUCCCACAGACUCCCUGGGGUGUUGCCAGCCUGAGUCAGAGAUAUUGAUGUAAUGCCUACCGUGUUCCAGACACGCUGCGAGGCCCUGGGGAUGCAGCCACAAUCCCAACAGAUCUGAUGCCUGCUCUCAUGGAACUGACUUUGCACUGGGGGGAGGCCAACUCCACGAAAACAGAAACUGGAUGACACAUUGGAGGGAGAGCAGUAAAAGGAGCAAGCAGAGAGCAAGAACAACAGUGUUGCCAUGGGGCGGGUGGGCCCGCUGUAGCCAGGGAGGGCCUCUCCGAAGGUAUAACAGGUAAGCUGAGCCCUGGAUGCUGAGAAGGACCAGCCUCAGGAGCAGGGCCCCUCUGCAGCAAUGCCUAGUACAGAGGCUUAGAGAAGACAUGGGCACGUGCACCAGGCAUCCCAUGGGCAGGGCUACCUGAGUUCCAUAUGUGUGUGGAGAGGUCCCGCAGGGCCUGGGUGCGUGACGAGGAUGAAUAAAGUGGGUGGAGGGUAAUGCCACAGUGAGGGGCAGAUGGUGGCCAGUUGACAACACGUGCCCCCAUCAAAGAGGUGGUUGCUACUCAGCUCUGACUCAUGGUCACCAAAAAGGAUGUGGGGCGAGUGUGGCCAGAUCAUCUAGUUCUUCAAAAGAAAGUAGAAAUCUAAACAUUUUUUUUUUGGUAAAGACAUCUGAAUUUCAAGUGCUUUUAUUAAAAGAAGCAAAAAGAGGCCUGGCACGGUGGCUCACGUCUGUAAUCCCAGCACUUUGGGAGGCUGAGGUAGACAGAUCACUUGAGGUUGGGAGUUCGAGACCAGCCUGGCCAACAUGGAGAAACCCCGUCUCUACUGAAAAUACAAAAAAAAUUAGCUGGGCAUGGUGGCAGGUGCCUGCAAUCCCAGCCACUCGGGAGGCUGAGGAGCGAGAAUCACUUGAACCCGGGAGGCAGAGGUUGCAGUGAGCUGAGAUCACGCUACUGCACUCCAGCCUGGGUGACAGAGCAAGAACCUGCCUUAAAAGAAGAAGAAAAAAAAAAAAAAAAACACUGGGUGGAUGAAAAAAAAACAUCCCCAAGCCAGGUCCAGCCUGCAGGUCACCAUUUUGCAGCCUUUGGGUGGAAAGCCGGAUUGGACUGCAGCAGCCUAGUACUCAAGGAGAGGGCACGGCAGGGAGAGGAGACAGCAGCGGAAAGGCCUGAGCUGGGACAGUCGAAGAGCUGUGAGCGGCUUGCUAUGGCUGAAACGUAGUUUGAGUGUGACCACAAAACAUGGCAGACUGUGACCACAUUGCAAGGAUCUCGGAGGCUUGGUAAAAGGGUUCUCUUCCCCGGAGAUGUGGCACAGUGUCCGAUCCCCGUGCCUUUCCUCAUACAGUGCCCUCCCCCCUUUCUCCGCAUGUCUACGUUCUGACUCUAGUGCCACUUUUUCCACAGUCUCCCUGGUCCCCCUCCCACCCACCAUCAAGAUGGGAUCUCUCCCUCCUGGGAGCACCUACUGCACUUUGCUUUCAUUCAUUCAUUUUUUAAAAUUAAUUAAUUAAUUGGUUUAUUUAUUUUGAGAUGGAGUCUCACUCUGUUGCUCAGGCUGGAGUGCAACGUCACGAUCUCGGCUCACUGCAAACUCCGCCUCCCGGGUUCAAGCAAUUCUCCUGCCUCAGCCUCCCAAGUACCUGGGAUUAUAGGCAUGCGUCACCACACCCAGCUCGU